RNA transcript from Haemorhous mexicanus (house finch), 1813 nucleotides. It is a transcript of the gene named ASPSCR1 tether for SLC2A4, UBX domain containing, with no coding region annotated. The record is from RefSeq and is a predicted model, not a curated record. NCBI's taxonomy places the organism in Eukaryota, Metazoa, Chordata, Aves, Passeriformes, Fringillidae. The transcript has 16 exons.
CCCGGCCGCGCGGGGCUGGCACGGCAGGGGAAGAUGGCGGCGGCGGGCGGGGGCGGCGCCGCGGUGUCGGUGCUGGCGCCCAGCGGGCGGCGGGUCACGGUGCGGGUGGGGCCCGGCACGGUCCUGCUCCAGGUCCUCGAGGAGGUCUGCAGGAAGCAGGGUGGCAGCCCUAGCGAGUACGGCCUGAAGUUUCAGAGGAAUGUGUUGGACCUGUCUUUGCAGUGGAGAUUUGCUAGGCUGCCCAACAAUGCCAAACUGGAGAUGGUGCCAGUCUCCAGCAGAGCAGGAGCUGGAACCACGGUUCGGAUAGCAUUACAACUAGACGAUGGCUCCCGUUUGCAGGACACCUUUCUCUGUCAGCAGACCUUGUGGGAACUUCUCAACCAUUUUGCGAAGAUCAGGGAGUUGAUGGAACAGGAUGGUGAAUUGUCUCCAGUCUGUAUUUACAUGCGGGAUGAGAUAUCAGGAAAAGAUGCCCUGGAGAAGAUAACACUGAAAUCACUUGGCCUGAUUGGAGGCAGUGCCAUUAUCAGAGUUGUCAUGAAGAAAUGCAGUUCAUCUGGUGGGGAGGAAGUUGUGGGAGCCACGGUGCCUUGUAAUGAGCCAACAGUGAGGAAAGGCUCUAUGGAAGAAGCAGUGGAUGUGCCUCUACCUCAAGCAAACACAUUUCCGAAGGACUUGGAGCACAGGAAUGUGGCUGUAUCUUUAAACAGCUGCACACACAAGCAAGACUCGACUAAAGAUUCUCAUGCUAGCUUGGAGGAGCUGUGGCAUUCCCCAGAGCCUGAGCCUACCCCAUUUGUCCAUUUUUUUGGAGAUGGAGAACAUCUGGGGGACUCUCCUGUAGCUGCACUAUCUUCAAAGCUGCCAACAACUUUUUCAAGCCCUGGAGGUCCUUCUAAGCCAAAGAAGUCUAAGAACAGCCAAGAAGUGCAAAAGGAGCAAGACCAGCUUGUAGAACGUGAGCCACUUAUAUGUCACCUGGACCUACUGGAACAACUUUCUAAUGGCCCAGAAGAGCUUCCUGAUGAAUUUUUUGAAGUCACAGUGGAUGAUGUACGGAAACGUUUGGCACAGCUGCAGAAUGAGAGGAAACGCCUGGAAGAAGCUCCACUGAUGACAAAGUCCUUGAAGGAGUCCCAGCUGAAGGAGAAGUUGGAGCGUUACCCCAAGGUGGUGGUGAGAGUUCAUUUUCCAGACCGCCACGUUCUGCAGGGCUGCUUCCAUCCCACUGAGACUGUUGGCAUUUUGAGAGACUUUGUAAGAAGCCACCUUGCCGAUGCAGAGUUGCCAUUUUACUUGUUUGUUGCACCUCCCAGAAUCAUCUUGAACAAUGAAAGUCUGACGCUGUUUGAGGUGGAUCCACCAGGGACUGUUCUGAAGUGGAUAUUUUUAUCAUGGAAUGUGAGAUGCAGCAGCCCCAGUGCCACUCCACAGCCAGGGUGCCAUGCUGUCACAAACCACGCUCACCGCUGCAGUGUCUCAGUAGCUGUUCGCUCUCUCUGGGUGAAACUGGAGUUACUCAGCUGUAGUUUCAGACUGAAUGGGGCUUUGCUAACCUUUUCCCAACUGCUGUCAUUCAUUUUGGAUCUGAGGAGCGCAGGGCUUGUUACCUGAAAUCAGACCUGCUGAGCUCUGCAGUUUCUUCUUCUGCAGCUGAUUUAUUAGUAGCCAGAUCACUAGUUCCUUCUGCUUCAUCAGCUUUAGCAUCAUCCCUAUCUGAACCAGAAGUGGGAAGUGACAAAGAGACCACUGAGCAGCCAGAACCAGCCAGCACUCAGGGAGCUCCACAAGUGCUUAGAAAAGCCCCUGG